RNAcentral lists this ribosomal RNA (467 nucleotides) under uncultured bacterium. Its description in RNAcentral is "partial 16S ribosomal RNA". It matches the Rfam family "Bacterial small subunit ribosomal RNA", at positions 28 to 507 of the family's 1533-position model. The record is from RNAcentral.
GAUGAACGCUGGCGGCGUGCUUAACACAUGCAAGUCGAACGAUGAAGCCCAGCUUGCUGGGUGGAUUAGUGGCGAACGGGUGAGUAACACGUGAGCAACCUGCCCCUGACUCUGGGAUAAGCGCUGGAAACGGCGUCUAAUACUGGAUAUGUCCCGUCACCGCAUGGUGUGCGGGUGGAAAGAUUUUUCGGUUGGGGAUGGGCUCGCGGCCUAUCAGCUUGUUGGUGAGGUAAUGGCUCACCAAGGCGUCGACGGGUAGCCGGCCUGAGAGGGUGACCGGCCACACUGGGACUGAGACACGGCCCAGACUCCUACGGGAGGCAGCAGUGGGGAAUAUUGCACAAUGGGCGGAAGCCUGAUGCAGCGACGCCGCGUGAGGGAUGACGGCCUUCGGGUUGUAAACCUCUUUUAGCAGGGAAGAAGCGAAAGUGACGGUACCUGCAGAAAAAGCACCGGCUAACUACGUG